AUGGCAAUCUGAACGAUCGAACAGUCGAGAAAGUGCGUUUUGCUACGUCUAUUUAUUAUUAAGCAAGUGGAAUUUACGUUUAUUAACGACAAUAUCUCUUCGAAACUAAAAAAACCGACUAUUUAAUCAAAUUAAAAGCACGAUGAUUAUACCUGUACGUUGUUUUACGUGUGGAAAAGUAAUCGGUAAUAAGUGGGAAGCUUAUCUUGGUUUGUUACAGGCAGAAUACACUGAAGGUGAUGCUCUUGACGCAUUGGGUUUAAAACGAUACUGCUGCCGUAGAAUGCUUCUUGGACAUGUAGAUUUAAUUGAGAAGCUUUUGAAUUACGCACCAUUAGAAAAAUAAAAAUGUGAGAUAAAAAUUCUCUCAUUUCACUUUAAAUAUUAAGAUACAAAUUGCCAAUUAUAUAAUAGGAUAUUGUUAUUUGUACAGAAAUAUUUCUUAGGAAAUGUAUGAUGACAAGGAAUAUGUAAAAAUUUCCAACAAUUGUAUAAAAAAUCAAUUGAUUUAUAACAAGUUCGAUAAGCAAAAAUUGCUUCGAAAGGAUUUUGCUUUCUUUUAAAUGUACAUUUGUAUUAAAUGCAACACAGUAGAGUGAAACAUUUGCUGCACUGUGAAUCACAUAGAUGAAACAUGUUAUGACUUGUUUAUAAAUGUUUGAAUUAUUACAAUAAUACAUGUUAUUAAAUUUAGGAAAAAAAAAUGAAGGUUAUACUUUAAGAUUUGAUUGUUAAUUCAUAAGACUAACAACACGCAAAUAUACUUCUCUAUGUAUUAACAAUUUUUAUAGAUCGUAAUUGUAGCUAAAAUUUUUUUAAAUUCUUUAUAGUAUGUUUCAAAUAGGGUACAGUUAUAUGUGCAGAAUAUAAAAAAAUGUUCAAACGUAAUUUAUCAUUAUAAUAAAGUAAAAAAUUUCACUUUGUUAAAUAAAUAAUAUCAAUCAAAAUUAAUUAAAACGUAUUGCUCCAAUGUAAAAUAUUUCUUACAAAUACUGUUAACUUCUCUCAGUCUAGUCUCUUCACGAAUUAAAUAGAAUAUAUAUACUAUAUAUUAUGUUUUAGGAACAGAGUAAGUUACUAGAUAUAUUUUCAAAUUAGUCACUUAUUAACGAUUAAAUCUUCUCAUAUAACCUCCCCUAAUAGUACUUAUUUUAUAAUAUAAAUUGUUUGUGCGUAGAUAUUAUUUGAACUAUAUCGAAUGUUAGUUUUCCAAUUUCUCAUUCUUAAAAGAAUUCAUUUUUGAUUCAUUGAAUUCUCAUUUGCACAACAACCGAAGUUACGUUGGUUAAAAUUCAUUCUAUCUUACUAAAAUACUAGGGCAUGUCUUGUAAGCAUAAUAUGAUGGCAUCUAAAUUUCUGAUAUAAAUUUUAUCAAACUUCUGAUUAUACGUAUCUUACAAAAUAAAUUGAUAUCUUCAAUUUA
Bombus pyrosoma is the source of this 1423-nucleotide RNA transcript. It is a transcript of the gene named DNA-directed RNA polymerases I, II, and III subunit RPABC5, with no coding region annotated. The record is from RefSeq and is a predicted model, not a curated record. The transcript has 3 exons. Lineage: Eukaryota; Metazoa; Arthropoda; Insecta; Hymenoptera; Apidae.